This 1404-nucleotide long non-coding RNA is filed under the name Marmota monax (woodchuck). Lineage: Eukaryota; Metazoa; Chordata; Mammalia; Rodentia; Sciuridae. The record is from RNAcentral.
GUCACUCCAAGGCAGACCUCAUGAAAGGGAGCCACUUGGCCACCCUGGAGUCGGAGCAUGGGCAGGGGUCAGCUCAGGGUGGGCAGAGGCAGAAGGGUGAAUGCAGCAAACCUGGCUCUCAGCAGCUCGGAGCUAGAAGGGCCCCAUGGCUGAUCUCAGAUGGACGGGAUGGCCAGGCCUUUGCUUAGGUCACAUCUGUCACUGGAUGGGGUUGACCAGGAACCCAUGAUCUCAGGCCAGGCCAGCCUCUGCAGUUUGAGACCAACUCUGAGGGGCCACAGCCAGGGCUGUGGGCAGGAGGGUGAGCCCUGGAGGAUGGAGACGCCCAGUACCUCAGGCAGGCACUGCCACGGACCUGUGUCCCUUCACUGCCCCGGGUUGUCCCAGGGCCUCACACUCAGCAUCCUGUGACAGAGCUCAGCACCUUCCCCAGACACCUUCCGCCUCCUGUGCCCAGCCUGCCCUGUCCUCGUCCCAUUUCCACACUCUGCCUGGGGCCAGCCAUGGUGCCUAGCAGCCUCUUGUGGGAUUCCUGCUACCCACAUAGCCCCAGCCUCCACUGUGUGUCCAGAGUGACCCCAACACUGUCCUGUGGUCACCUCUACCCUCCACCCCCUGCCCGCGGCUGCCCACGUGGCCUGUACCCUAGACAGUGUGUCCAGCCUCACCACCCGCCCAAGGCCAUGCCCCGUGGAGCCGUGGGUCUUAGGCAGGUCUCCGGGCCUGGGACCCCGCAGGACUCCAGUGCACGUGGGACCAGGGGAGUGAGCACACAGGAGAGCCAGGGCUGGGGGCAUCGGGAAGGAGCUUAGAAAACGGCCUUCAACUCUUAGAAGCAGGAAAAGCCCCACCGCCUUCAGGAUGGAGUAAGAACCACUGGGGACACUCCCAAGAAAGGCACUCCUGCUACCCGAGGCUCCCAGAACCCUGAAGGACCUUAUCCAUCUCCCAGGGCCACAGUCGUCUGCCUUCCUGGUGUCUCAGCGGACACCUGCAGCCCUGGCUGCCCAGCAGAGCUCUGUGUUGGAACGUACGUGUGGGUAACUCCCACUGCCUUCCAGUGCCUUCCCAAGGGCUCCACAGCCCAUCAGGUGGUCACGAGGAUGGGUCAUGGGGGCCAGUCCCGGGGCCUCAGCAAGUUUCUCUGCAGAGCCUGCCAGGCCCCUAGCCACGUGCUCCCCUCCCCCUCCCACCAGCUCCCUGGGCUGUCCACCUCCUUCCUGGGCACCGCUUUCCAUCCCCCACACAUCUGCCACGGCCCCGUCCCUCCACCUGCUCAGCCUCCCCUCUCCCUCUCAAGGGAAAAACUCCUUGGCACCCACCCACCUCCAGACCCUGCCACCACCCCUGCCAGACACAUCUGCCUGGUGGUCCCCAAGUGCUCUCAGCCUGCUUCAGUCUGGG